CAAGAGAAGACGACGUCCUCAGGAGACAUGGCUAACACGGGAUGCAUGGAUGCAUGAGGUUGCCAGCGUAACAUGGGUACUGUUUUACAGUCAAGGGUUCUUUUUGGUGUGGAAGAGUUACCCCUGGGCAUACACCUGGAAUACAGUGUGGAAAAGGUCAUCUCUUCAAGCUACAGCCACACUGAGUUGUGCCAAUGAAAAAAGACCUGAGAGGUGACAGAAGGCCACAGAUGUGGUAGUUUGCUCAUGAAGACUCAACAGGGAAAGAAGGGGACCGAGAUCACAUUCUUCUGCAUCUGAGGGUGAAUAAGAGGAGGAGAAGCGCAAGGAAGAAACAGAAAUUGGUAGUCGGAAGGGAAGAACAGCCCAAAGGAAUUACAGCCAGACACACCAAAGAAGGAGACACUGCACAGACUGGGGUGACCAGUUCCGUGGGCUGCAGAGAAAGGCAAGUCAAGAAAAGGUCCGUGACCCUUCAAAGCUAUUUGUGACCUGUUGUAAAUGAGAGUGAAAGCCAGAUUUCAAGGGAUCGAGGUAAGCCAAGCUUUAUGCAUGGGAUUUCACAACUGCUGUGAAGUUUGCCGGGGUUGAGCACCCUCAUCCUGCAGAAGGGUUGGACUCCAUCUCUUCACCUAUUUGGAGAAGUACUUCAAGACUUGCUGACGCUGGGUUUCAGAACUGGAGGUUCCUCUGACUGAUGCUGGGUAGAACAAGGACUGAAGCAGCUCUCAUUCAGCAGCGGGAAGAAGAAAGGCCAAGAGCUGCACAUUGCGUUUUUUGGGCAAAUCUUCGCUAACUGGAUGCGCUCAGAGAGAAAGUAGAACUAAGCAGGUAUGUACGUUUGCGUGACUGUGCACACAGCCACGUACACCGUGGAUGUUAUUUUAGACCCUGCACUACCGAGAACAUUUUGCCUUCUGCUCGUCUUUCUCUUUGCCAUCAGAAGAAGGUUCCACAGUCCUCUGUCCCAGGAUGCUUUGCAGCAAUCCCUCAGUGACCUCAGGCUUAAAUCAGCUGUGACCACUCAGCUUAACCUACGGUCUUUCAGGAAAAGAGCUAAAGAAUUAUAGUUUUGGAGAAGUCUCCUGCUUGACGCGCCAUGGAGGCAAGGGGACUUUCUAGUUUCACUACCCUUGUCCCUCAGCUUUUCUCAGUGUGCUCCCCUUGUGGGGCCCAGAGGCCUGGAGCCAGCAGAGGGGUUAGCAAAUGUUUCCCCUCAGCAUUUCUGAGGAUUCCUGACAGAGCCCAUCAGAGCUCCCUUUCAUCACUGCUGCAUGCGUUAGUGGCUUUAGUGUGUCUGCCCUGGCUCGAAGACAUUGUGUUCCCUGCUGGAUUAAUCCCGCCUGCCUUCAUCCUCAGGAUGUGGGCCGCAAGGAGGGAACAGGGGCGGGGUGGGGGUGGCAGGAAAAUAGGGGAGAAGAGUAAGAGAAGCACUGAAAGCACCAAAUGACAGACAUGGGAUGGGAAAAUAAAAAGCAAACUCAUUUGCAAAACUAGGGGGAAAUACAUUUAAGACGCAUUAAACUAAAAAGCGCAAAAUGGAGAGCAUAGACACACCCCUGGAAUGGAUAAACCCUGAGUCUCAGAAUGUGAGGGGCUUUUGGUGUCAGAAGAGAGGGCCUCGCACUCCAGGCCAGCACAACCAGAGGCAGUUUAUUCGUUUUUAGGUUAUAAAGCAAACUGAUCCCUCCUUGAUUCAUCUUUCACUGAGCACAUGUUCAAUGAGGUGUAUGCCCAGCGGACAUCCUCUGGCCUCAGGUACUUUGUUCCAUCAUAAGCUUCUUCUCAGGUACACUAGAGUCAUUUUGAGAUCACGGUGUUAAGUGAGAUAAACAAGGCACAUAAGUUUAAA
Long non-coding RNA from Chinchilla lanigera (long-tailed chinchilla), 1852 nucleotides. RefSeq lists it as uncharacterized. The transcript has 4 exons. The record is from RefSeq and is a predicted model, not a curated record. NCBI's taxonomy places the organism in Eukaryota, Metazoa, Chordata, Mammalia, Rodentia, Chinchillidae.